GAUAGCCCGCUGAAAGGCGGAUUAAUACUGCAUAAUAUGGUACAAUCGCAUGGUUGAACUAUAAAAGCUGAGGCGGUAAAGGAUGGGCAUGCGUGACAUUAGCUUGUUGGCGGGGUAACGGCCCACCAAGGCUACGAUGUCUAGGGGUUCUGAGAGGAAGGUCCCCCACACUGGUACUGAGACACGGACCAGACUCCUACGGGAGGCAGCAGUGAGGAAUAUUGGUCAAUGGGCGCGAGCCUGAACCAGCCAUCCCGCGUGCAGGAAGACGGCCCUAUGGGUUGUAAACUGCUUUUGUGCAGGAAGAACGUACAGAUCGUGAUUUGUAGUGACGGUACUGCAUGAAUAAGCACCGGCUAACUCCGUGCCAGCAGCCGCGGUAAUACGGAGGGUGCAAGCGUUAUCCGGAUUUAUUGGGUUUAAAGGGUGCGUAGGCGGUUAAAUAAGUCAGUGGUGAAAAGCUGCAGCUCAACUGUAGUCCUGCCAUUGAAACUGUUUUACUUGAGUAACCAUGAGGUAGGCGGAAUGUGUAGUGUAGCGGUGAAAUGCUUAGAUAUUACACAGAACACCGAUUGCGUAGGCAGCUUACUAGAGGUUUACUGACGCUGAUGCACGAAAGCGUGGGGAUCAAACAGGAUUAGAU
RNAcentral lists this ribosomal RNA (643 nucleotides) under uncultured bacterium. Its description in RNAcentral is "bacterial SSU rRNA". It matches the Rfam family "Bacterial small subunit ribosomal RNA", at positions 142 to 783 of the family's 1533-position model. The record is from RNAcentral.